This 460-nucleotide ribosomal RNA is filed under the name uncultured bacterium. RNAcentral's name for it is "partial 16S ribosomal RNA". It matches the Rfam family "Bacterial small subunit ribosomal RNA", at positions 338 to 795 of the family's 1533-position model. The record is from RNAcentral.
CCUACAGGAGGCUGCAGUGAGGAAUAUUUGUCAAUGGACGCAAGUCUGAACCAGCCAUGCCGCGUGCAGGAAGACGGCUCUAUGAGUUGUAAACUUCUUUUGUACGAGGGUAAACGCAGAUACGCGUAUCUGUCUGAAAUCAUCUUACGAAUAAGGAUCGGCUAACUCCGUGCCAGCAGCCGCGGUAAUACGGAGGAUUCAAGCUUUAUCCGGAUUUAUUGGGGUUAAAGGGUGCGUAGGCGGUCGGAUAAGUUAGAGGUGAAAUCCCGAGGCUCAACUUCGGAAUUGCCUCUGAUACUGUUCGGCUAGAGAGUAGUUGAGGUAGGCGGAAUGUAUGGUGUAGCGGUGAAAUGCUUAGAGAUCAUACAGAACACCGAUUGCGAAGGCAGCUUACCAAGCUACUUCUGACGUUGAGGCACGAAAGCGUGGGUAUCGAACAGGAUUAGAUACCCUAGUAGUC